Molecule: ribosomal RNA, 437 nt
Filed under: uncultured bacterium
Lineage: Bacteria
Description: partial 16S ribosomal RNA
Rfam family: Bacterial small subunit ribosomal RNA
Source: RNAcentral
AGCGAACGCUGGCGGCAGGCUUAACACAUGCAAGUCGAGCGGGCAUCCUUGUGGUGUCAGCGGCAGACGGGUGAGUAACGCGUGGGAACGUGCCCUUCGGUUCGGAAUAACUCAGGGAAACUUGAGCUAAUACCGGAUACGUGCGAGAGCAGAAAGGUUUAUCUGCCGAAGGAUCGGCCCGCGUCUGAUUAGCUAGUUGGUGAGGUUAUGGCUCACCAAGGCGACGAUCAGUAGCUGGUCGGAGAGGAUGAUCAGCCACACUGGGACUGAGACACGGCCCAGACUCCUACGGGAGGCAGCAGUGGGGAAUAUUGGACAAUGGGGGCAACCCUGAUCCAGCCAUGCCGCGUGAGUGAUGACGGCCUUAGGGUUGUAAAGCUCUUUUCUUCGGGACGAUAAUGACGGUACCGGAGGAAUAAGCCCCGGCUAACUUCGUG